AUCUGUCAUACCUGCCCCAUAGGGCAACUGCCCAGUGAGACCUCAAUUCACAGAUCUACCCUCUUGAAAUUGGGCUGUGGUUCACUGGGCAGCUCGGGACUUCCCUGUAGAAGGGGAAGGAGGAACUGCGGUACAAUGCAGAACAACACUACCUAAUGACAUCCAUCAAUCAAACAGUGUCUGUCCCAGCAGAUACGUGCAUCUUUGGCCCUGCAUCCCAGCAUCUGCUGUAUCCUGAGGAAGGAGGGAGCCAGGCACUGGAACACCCGCCAAGGCUUCUCCUGCAGGGGACAGGUGAAAAUUCAACCUAACUACACAUGACCUUUGGGUGUGACUAAGAUGAAAUAUAGCUGUGAAGAUGACAAGGGGUCUACCCCUGGGCCAGUCAGUUAUGAUCAAAGGGGAGCUAUCAUGUAAGCAGUAAACAAUGCCACA
Molecule: long non-coding RNA, 435 nt
Organism: Orcinus orca (killer whale)
Lineage: Eukaryota; Metazoa; Chordata; Mammalia; Artiodactyla; Delphinidae
Exons: 3
Source: RefSeq, a predicted model, not a curated record